GGCGAACGCUGGCGGCGUGCUUAACACAUGCAAGUCGAACGGGCCUGUCUUCUUUUUUGGGGGUGGGUUGAGUGGCGAACGGGUGAGUAUCACGUGAGUAACCUGCCCUUCGGUCCUGGAUAACCGCUUGAAAGGGCGGCUAAUACGGGGUGGUCCGGUUGGUCCGCAUGGGCUGGUCGGGAUAGAUUCACUGUUUUUGGUGUUUCGGCGGGGGAUGGGCUCGCGGCCUAUCAGCUUGUUGGUGGGGUGAUGGCCUACCAAGGCGGUGACGGGUAGCCGGCCUGAGAGGGUGGGCGGCCACACUGGGACUGAGAUACGGCCCAGACUCCUGCGGGAGGCAGCAGUGGGGGGUAUUGCACAAUGGGCGGAAGCCUGAUGCAGCGACGUCGCGUGAGGGAUGGAGGCCUUCGGGUUGUGAACCUCUGUUUCCGGUGGUGAAGGCCCUGUCCGUGUGGUGGGGUUGACGGUAGCCGGGGAUGAAGCGCCGGCUAACUACGUG
This 499-nucleotide ribosomal RNA is filed under the name uncultured bacterium. Its description in RNAcentral is "partial 16S ribosomal RNA". It matches the Rfam family "Bacterial small subunit ribosomal RNA", at positions 28 to 507 of the family's 1533-position model. The record is from RNAcentral.